GAUGAAGAACGUAGCGAAAUGCGAUAAGUAAUGUGAAUUGCAGAAUUCAGUGAAUCAUCGAAUCUUUGAACGCACAUUGCGCCCAUUAGUAUUCUAGUGGGCAUGCCUGUUCGAGCGUCAUUAAGUCCACUUAAGCCUAGCUUAGUGUUGGGAGACUGCUCCAGUGGUGCUACCCUGUAGCUACCCUGCAGCUCCUUAAAGACAGCGGCGGAGUCGUGUUAUCCUCUGAGCUUAGUAAAUCAUUCUAGCUUUCGAGAGUAUCACUUCACCUGCCGUUAAACCACCUAAUUUUUAUGGUUGACCUCGGAUCAGGUAGGAAUACCCGCUGAACUUAAGCAUAUCAAUAAGCGGAGA
This 354-nucleotide unclassified non-coding RNA is filed under the name soil metagenome. RNAcentral's name for it is "partial contains 5.8S ribosomal RNA, internal transcribed spacer 2, and large subunit ribosomal RNA". The stretch from base 1 to 120 matches the Rfam family "5.8S ribosomal RNA", at positions 35 to 154 of the family's 154-position model. The record is from RNAcentral.